Molecule: ribosomal RNA, 385 nt
Filed under: uncultured bacterium
Lineage: Bacteria
Description: bacterial SSU rRNA
Rfam family: Bacterial small subunit ribosomal RNA
Source: RNAcentral
GACGAACGCUGGCGGCGUGCUUAACACAUGCAAGUCGAGCGGUAAGGCCCUUCGGGUACACGAGCGGCGAACGGGUGAGUAACACGUGGGUGACCUGCCCUUAGCUCUGGGAUAAGCCUGGGAAACUGGGUCUAACACCGGAUAUGACCUCAUGACGCAUGUUGUGGGGUGGAAAGCCUUGUGCGGCUAGGGAUGGGCCCGCGGCCUAUCAGCUUGUUGGUGGGGUGAUGGCCACCAAGGCGACGACGGGUAGCCGGCCUGAGAGGGCGACCGGCCGACACUGGGACUGAGACACGGCCCAGACUCCUACGGGAGGCAGCAGUGGGGAAUCUUGCGCAAUGGGCGAAAGCCUGACGCAGCGACGCCGCGUGAGGGAUGACGGCCU